Molecule: ribosomal RNA, 433 nt
Filed under: uncultured bacterium
Lineage: Bacteria
Description: partial 16S ribosomal RNA
Rfam family: Bacterial small subunit ribosomal RNA
Source: RNAcentral
AGCGAACGCUGGCGGCAGGCCUAACACAUGCAAGUCGAACGAACUCUUCGGAGUUAGUGGCGGACGGGUGAGUAACACGUGGGAACGUGCCUUUUGGUUCGGAAUAACUCAGGGAAACUUGUGCUAAUACCGAAUGUGCCCUUCGGGGGAAAGAUUUAUCGCCAUUAGAGCGGCCCGCGUCUGAUUAGCUAGUUGGUGAGGUAACGGCUCACCAAGGCGACGAUCAGUAGCUGGUCUGAGAGGAUGACCAGCCACACUGGGACUGAGACACGGCCCAGACUCCUACGGGAGGCAGCAGUGGGGAAUCUUGCGCAAUGGGCGAAAGUCUGACGCAGCCAUGCCGCGUGAAUGAUGAAGGUCUUAGGAUUGUAAAAUUCUUUCACCGGGGACGAUAAUGACGGUACCCGGAGAAGAAGCCCCGGCUAACUUCGUG